Long non-coding RNA from Tympanuchus pallidicinctus (lesser prairie-chicken), 3316 nucleotides. RefSeq lists it as uncharacterized. The record is from RefSeq and is a predicted model, not a curated record. NCBI's taxonomy places the organism in Eukaryota, Metazoa, Chordata, Aves, Galliformes, Phasianidae. The transcript is spliced from 3 exons.
UGAGGUGGCCACCGCGUGGAUCUGUGGGGGCAAUACGGAGAUCAGGGCAGUCGGCUUGACCGGCCUGUGACUCAACGUAGCCUUCAUGUGGUGCAAUGUGGCCAACGUGGCCAACGUGGAGCUCAGAAUGGUCAACUUGACCUGUCUGUGGCCCAGCGUGGCCCUCAUGUGGCUCAGUAUGGCCAGCAUGUGGCUCCAUGUGGCCAACGCAGAGCUCAGUGCAGUCAACUUGACCAAUCAGUGGCUCAGCAUGGCCAAUUAUGGCCAACGUGUGGCUCCAUGUGGCCAACAUGGAGCUCAGAAUGGUCAACUUGACCUGUCUGCGGCCCAACGUGGCCCUCAUGUGGCUCAGUAUGGCCGACAUGUGGCUCCAUGUGGCCAAUGUGAAGCUCAGUGCAGUCAACUUGACCAAUCAGUGGCUUAGCGUGGCCAAUGUGUCCAUCACGUGGCCUGGUGUGGCCAACAUGGAGCUCACAGGGGUCAACUUGACCAAUCGGUGGCUCAGCGUGGCCCUUACGUGGCCCAGUAUGGCUCCAUGUGGCCAACACGGAGCUCAGCGCAGUCAACUUGACCAACCUGUUGCUCAGCAUGGUCCAGUAUGGCCAACGUGUGGCUCCACGUGGCCAACAUGGAGCUCAGAGUGGUCAACUUGACCAAUCUAUGGCUCAGCGUGGCCCUCAUGUGGCCCAGUAUGGCCAACAUGGCCGACAUAUGGCUCCAUGUGGCCAGUGUGAAGCUCAGAGUGGUCAGCUUGACCAAUCUGUGGCCCAGCAUGGCCUGGUGUGGUCAACAUGGCCAAUUUGCAGCUCCAUGUGGCCAACGCAGAGCUCAAUGCAGUCAACUUGACCAAUCAGUGGCUUAGCACAGCCAACGAGUCCAUCACGUGGCCUGGUGUGGCCAACAUGGAGCUCAGAAUGGUCAACUUGACCUGUCUGUGGCCCAACGUGGCCCUCAUGUGGCUCAGUAUGGCCGACAUCUGGCUCCAUGUGGCCAACGCAGAGCUCAGUGCAGUCAACUUGACCAAUCAGUGGCUCAGCGUGGCCAAUGUGUCCAUCACGUGGCCUGGUGUGGCCAACAUGGAGCUCAGAGUGGUCAACUUGACCAAUCGGUGGCUCAGCGUGGCCCUUACGUGGCCCAGUAUGGCUCCAUGUGGCCAACAUGGAGCUCAGCACAGUCAACUUGACCAAUCUAUGGCUCAGCAUGGUCCAGUAUGGCCAAUGUGUGGCUCCAUGUGGCCAACAUGGAGCUCGGAGUGGUCAACAUGACCAAUCUGUGGCCCAACGUGGCCCUCAUGUGGGCCAUUAUGGCCAACACAUGUGCCUCCAUGUGGCCAACAAGGAGCUCAGCGCAGUCAACUUGACCAAUCAGUGGCUCAGCGUGGCCGUCAUGUGGCCCGGCAUGGCCAACGUGUGGCUCCAUGUGGCCAACAUGGAAUUCAGAGAGGUCAGCUUGAACAAUCUGUGGCCCAGCAUGGUCUGGUGUGGCCAGCAUGGCCAAUAUGUGGCUCCAUGUGGCCAACAUGGAGCUCAGAAUGGUCAACUUGACCAAUCAGUGGCUCAGCGUGGCCCACAUGGCCGUCAUGUGGCCUGGUGGGGCCAACAGGGAGCACAGUGUGGUCAACUCACACAAUUCAUGGCUCCAUGUGGCCAAUAUGUGGCACAAUGUGGCCAAUGUGUGGUUCAGGGUGGCCAACGUGGCCAAUGUUCAGCUCUGCGUGUCCAACACGGAGCUCAGUGUGGUUGACUCACUUAAUUUGUGACUUGAUGUGGCCAAUAUGUUGGUUAUUGUGGCCAACAUGGAGCUCAGUGCGGUCAACUCACCCAAAUUAUGGCUCAUCGUGGCCAACAUGUGGCUCAGUGUGGCUUGAUGCAGCCGAUGUUGAGCUCCAUGUGUUCAACACGGAGCUCAGUGUGGUUGACUCACCCAAUUUAUGGCUUAAUGUGGCCAAUAUGUGGCACAAUGUGCCCAAUGUGUGGUUCAGGGUGGCCAAUGUGAAGCUCAUCAUGGCCAAUGUGUGGCUUGAUGUCGCCAGUGUGGCCAAUGUUGAGCUCCACGUGUCCAAGAUGGAGCUCAGUGCAGUUGAUUCACACAAUUUGUGGCUCUGUGUGGCCAAUAUGUGGCUCUGUGUAGCCAAUAUGUGGCUCAAUGUGGCCAACACGGAGCUCAGUGUGGUUGACUCACCCAUUUUAUGACUGGAUGUGGCCAAUGUUGAGCUCCAUGUGUCCAAGACGGAGCUCAGUGCAGUCGACUCACCCAAAUUAUGGCUCAGUGUGGCCAAUUUGUGACCCAGCGUGGCCAAUGUUGAGCUCCACGUGUCCAAGACGGAGCUCAGUGCGGUCAACUCACCUAGUUUAUCACUUGAUGUGGCCAGUCUGUGACCCAGUGUGGCCAAUGUUCAGCUGAAUGUGUCCAACACGGAGCUCAGUGCGGUCGACUCACCCAAAUUAUGGCUCAUUGUGGCCAAUAUGUGGCUCAUUGUGGCCAGUGUGUGGUUCAGGGUGGCCAACGUGGCCAAUGUGAGGCUCAUCAUGGCCAUUGUGUGGCUUGAUGUGGCCAAUGUGGCCAAUGUUGAGCUCCACGUGUCCAAGACGGAGCUCAGUGUGGUCGACUCACCCAAAUCAUGGCUCAAUGUGGCCAAUGUGAGGCUCAUCAUGACCAACGUGUGGCUUGAUGUGGCCAACGUGGCCAAUGUUGAGCUCCAUGUGUCCAACGCGGAGCUCAGUGUGGUCGACUCACCCAAUUUAUGACUUGAUGUGGCCAGUCUGUGACCCAGCGUGGCCAAUGUUCAGCUCCAGGUGUCCAAGGCGGAGCUCAGUGUGGUUGACUCACUCAAUUUAUGGCUCAAUGUGGCCAAUAUGUGGCUCAUUGUGGCCAAUGUGUGGCUCAGUGUGGCUUGAUGCGGCCGAUGUUGAGCUCCAUGUGUCCAACACGGAGCUCAGUGUGGUUGACUCACCCAAUUUAUGGCUUAAUGUGGCCAAUAUGCGGCUCACCGUGGCCAGUGUGUGGCUCAGUGUGGCCAACAUGGAGCUCAGUGCGGUCGACUCACCCAAAUUAUGGCUCAAUGUGGCCAAUGUUGAGCUCCACGUGUCCAAGAUGGAGCUCAGUGCGGUCGACUCACCCAAAUUAUGGCUCAAUGUGGCCAACGCGUGGCUCAUCGUGGCCAAUGUUCACCUUCCCGUGUGCAGCACGGAGCUCAGUGCGGUCCUUCCAUCAAUUCCUGGCUCAUUGUGGCCAAUGCUGAGCUCCACGUGGCCCACAUCCCAGAGGUGCCCCGCGCCGGUUGGGCUCAGGCCGUGGGGUCCCCGGCCUUGGGAGC